RNAcentral lists this ribosomal RNA (478 nucleotides) under uncultured bacterium. RNAcentral describes it as "partial 16S ribosomal RNA". It matches the Rfam family "Bacterial small subunit ribosomal RNA", at positions 30 to 523 of the family's 1533-position model. The record is from RNAcentral.
GCCGAACGCUGGCGGCGUGCUUAACACAUGCAAGUCGAACGGUAAGGCCCUUCGGGGUACACGAGUGGCGAACGGGUGAGUAACUCGUGGGUGAUCUGCCCUGCACUUCGGGAUAAGCCCGGGAAACUGGGUCUACUACCGGAUAGGACCACUGCCUGCAUGGGUGGUGGUGGAAAGCUUUUGCGGUGUGGUCUGGGCCCGCGGCCUAUCAGCUUGUUGGUGGGGUGAUGGCCUACCAAGGCGACGACGGGUAGCCGGCCUGAGAGGGUGACCGGCCACACUGGGACUGAGAUACGGCCCAGACUCCUACGGUAGGCAGCAGUGGGGAAUAUUGCACAAUGGGCGCAAGCCUGAUGCAGCGACGCCGCGUGAGGGAUGACGGCCUUCGGGUUGUAAACCUCUUUCAGCACCGACGAAGCGCAAGUGACGGUAGGUGCAGAAGAAGGACCGGCCAACUACGUGCCAGCCGCCGCUGUAA